UGGGGAAUAUUGGACAAUGGACCAAGAGUCUGAUCCAGCAAUUCUGCGUGCACGAUGAAGUUUUUCGGAAUGUAAAGUGCUUUCAGUUGGGAAGAAAAAAAUGACGGUACCAACAGAAGAAGUGACGGCUAAAUACGUGCCAGCAGCCGCGGUAAUACGUAUGUCACGAGCGUUAUCCGGAUUUAUUGGGCGUAAAGCGCGUCUAGGUGGUUAUGUAAGUCUGAUGUGAAAAUGCAGGGCUCAACUCUGUAUUGCGUUGGAAACUGUAUGACUAGAGUACUGGAGAGGUAAGCGGAACUACAAGUGUAGAGGUGAAAUUCGUAGAUAUUUGUAGGAAUGCCGAUGGGGAAGCCAGCUUACUGGACAGAUACUGACGCUGAAGUGCGAAAGCGUGGGUAGCAAACAGGAUUAGAUACCCUGGUAGUCCAUGCCGUAAACGAUGAUUACUAGGUGUUGGGGGUCGAACCUCAGCGCCCAAGCAAACGCGAUAAGUAAUCCGCCUGGGGAGUACGUACGCAAGUAUG
RNAcentral lists this ribosomal RNA (524 nucleotides) under uncultured bacterium. RNAcentral describes it as "bacterial SSU rRNA". It matches the Rfam family "Bacterial small subunit ribosomal RNA", at positions 355 to 896 of the family's 1533-position model. The record is from RNAcentral.